This 66-nucleotide transfer RNA is filed under the name Pachydactylus montanus (Montane thick-toed gecko). RNAcentral describes it as "tRNA-Tyr". The record is from RNAcentral. Lineage: Eukaryota; Metazoa; Chordata; Lepidosauria; Squamata; Gekkonidae.
CCUGGCAAUAAGGAUCUGCUCCUAUGCGUGAAUUUACAGCUCACUACCUUUAUCGGCCAUAUUACC